AGCAAUAAACUAGGGAAUCGAACCCACAGUGUUCCGCUUACCGGGCAGAUGCCAUGUCCACUAGGCUACCCUGGACAUGC
RNAcentral lists this transfer RNA (80 nucleotides) under Cordylochernes scorpioides. Its description in RNAcentral is "tRNA-Thr". Lineage: Eukaryota; Metazoa; Arthropoda; Arachnida; Pseudoscorpiones; Chernetidae. The record is from RNAcentral.